CCUACGUGAGGCAGCAGUGAGGAAUAUUGGUCAAUGGGCGGAAGCCUGAACCAGCCAAGUCGCGUGAGGGAGUAAGGCCCUACGGGUCGUAAACCUCUUUUGCAGGGGAGCAGUGCCAAGCUCGUGAGCUGGGAGGAAGCGUACCCGGUGAAAAAGCAUCGGCUAACGCCGGGCCAGCAGCCGCGGUAGUACGGAGGAUUCGAGCGUUAUCUGGAUUGAUUGGGUUUAAAGGAUGCGUAGGCGGGCCUUCAGGCCGGCGGUAAAAUUGCGGGGAUAAACCUCGCCGAGCCGUCGGAACCGGGGGCCUUGAGUACCGGAGAAGUACGCGGAAUGCGUGGUGUAGCGGUGAUAUGCAUAGAUAUCACGCAGAACCCCGAUUGCGAAGGCAGCGUACCGGCCGGUCACUGACGCUGAGGCACGAAAGCGCGGGUAUCGAACAGGAUUAGAUACCCGGGUAGUC
RNAcentral lists this ribosomal RNA (460 nucleotides) under uncultured bacterium. RNAcentral's name for it is "partial 16S ribosomal RNA". It matches the Rfam family "Bacterial small subunit ribosomal RNA", at positions 338 to 795 of the family's 1533-position model. The record is from RNAcentral.